UCUCUAAAUGAUCCAGUUAUGUU
RNAcentral lists this microRNA (23 nucleotides) under Caenorhabditis brenneri. RNAcentral describes it as "cbn-miR-7623". The record is from miRBase by way of RNAcentral. Lineage: Eukaryota; Metazoa; Nematoda; Chromadorea; Rhabditida; Rhabditidae.